This 441-nucleotide ribosomal RNA is filed under the name uncultured bacterium. RNAcentral describes it as "partial 16S ribosomal RNA". It matches the Rfam family "Bacterial small subunit ribosomal RNA", at positions 28 to 507 of the family's 1533-position model. The record is from RNAcentral.
GAUGAACGCUGGCGGCGUGCCUAAUACAUGCAAGUCGAACGGGGAGUAGCAAUACUCUUAGUGGCGAACGGGUGAGUAACGCGUUGGUACCUGCCCCGAAGCGGGGGAUAACGGACCGAAAGGUCCGCUAAUACCCCAUGUGCUCGGUAACGAGUAAAGGUGAAAACCACUUUGGGAGGGGCCUGCGUCCCAUCAGCUAGUUGGUAAGGUAACGGCUUACCAAGGCGAUGACGGGUAGGGGACCUGAGAGGGUGGCCCCCCACAAUGGAACUGAAACACGGUCCAUACACCUACGGGUGGCAGCAGUAGGGAAUAUUGGUAAUGGGCGCAAGCCUGAACCAGCAACGCCGCGUGGGCGAUGACGGCCUUCGGGUUGUAAAGCACUUUUGACGGGGACGAGGAAGGACGGUACCGGUCGAAUCAGCCUCGGCUAACUACGUG